UUUCCUUUUCAUGAAAAUUUCUGACUCCACUGUUACGAUGGCAUUACAUUACAAGGCAGCCCAGUACAUUCCAGUUAAUUAUUUAAAUCUUGAAACAGGUUGAUCUUGAAACUUAAUCUUAUUUUUGUGUAACUAGGUUCUUUUACCUCUCGAAAAUAACCAUAAUAAUGUCAUUGUUUUGGCUACCAGAUCAAAAUUGCAAUUACCUAAAUAUUGUAGUCGAUACUGUAUUUUACAUGUUUUUACCAUCAUAGGUCAUUAAAACAAUCCCUAAAUGUUUUGUUAAGAGCCAUUUUACAUUUUCGUGCGAAUUUCUAAGAUUUUGGAAGCAUGAAUUACUAUCUUAAGCAACAUCCAGAGAUUAUUUAAUAACUGCGAAAGAUAGGUCAAUCCUUGUUGUUGACCAUUAAUGAAACGGAUUUACUAAAACUCUUUUGCUUAAUUCACAGUGCCCCAUCUCCCACAACCAUUUUACGAAAAAAUUGCCGCAGACUCAUUUUCAAAGUCCUGUAUCUAUUAUUUAUGCUCAUAUAAUAAGCUUAAAAAUAUAUAGUAAUCAUCGGACAUAUAUUCUUGUAGUCCAUUAAUGAAAUAGAUUCUUGAAUUUCAUUACCAUUAUUGAGUAAAAUCUAAAAAUAAUUUGGCAAAUUUGAAGAUUAACGUCACAUUUUGAUCGUGGUUUUUGGUUUAAAAACACAGCAAUAACUGCAAUAAAAGUAUCCCAAAAUAAAGAAUUUUCAUUGUAGAAUUAAUUUCUACAGUUAUUGUUUAAAUAUUAGUAACCACUUUGUCAAAAUAUUGAUGUGAAUAUCAGUAUAAAUUACAAUGCGCAAGCCGACAUCGAUUAGUAUGGCGCGAGCGCCCGUCAAGGCAAGACCUGUGUCAUUUUUCCCGCCGUGACGUUUACGUGCGUUCGUGUCGUAAAGCGGUGAUUUGUACGGCGACCAAAUACAUUUGAUACUAUGCCGAGAGGCUGUUUCGAGUCGGCCGGCCGAGCAGAAAUUGAAAUGAUGAAUUUUAAUUUCUUUGACGGAUCUGGGUGUAACUAUGUAUAAUAUGUAGGUACCAUGUAUUUAAUUUAAUAAAUAAAUUAUAAAAAAGUAUUGGCUCUGUGCACGAUUACAGCGCCAACUAGCGUCCACAACUUUGUGUGCUCUGUCACAUUGACAUUUAGGUCGUAUAUUUGUGAAAAAAUAUCGAAAUGAAAAAAUAACAAAUAUUUUCAACUAAUAAAUUGUUGUGAUACCACGAUUUGGGUGGAAAAAAGGUUUUGAAAUAAUUUUGGUCAUUCAAAUCAAAUGAGAUCGAAAUGAGUAUUGUUUUGAAGACCGGGUUUGUGAGUUUUACAAUAUCAAAUUCCAACCACAAACCGUAUUUAAAGGAAAGUUGUUGGUAUUGGCUGGACAAGUCCGAGAUGUAGAAGAAUUAAAAACAAAACAAGGGCAAAGUUCAAUAAUUCACGCUCUCAUCAUAAGGCAAACAUCUGUGCACAACAACUACAGUGACUCAUUUUUGUACUACCACGUUGUAUAGUCUAGUUAUUUCCAAAUUGUAAACGGCUAUUAAACCAGCCCUAUCGAAAAACA
Molecule: long non-coding RNA, 1586 nt
Organism: Ostrinia nubilalis (European corn borer)
Lineage: Eukaryota; Metazoa; Arthropoda; Insecta; Lepidoptera; Crambidae
Exons: 2
Source: RefSeq, a predicted model, not a curated record